AGCAGCCGCGGUAAUUCCAGCUCCAAUAGCGUAUAUUAAAGUUGUUGCAGUUAAAAAGCUCGUAGUUGAAUUUCGGGAUCAAAUUGUCGGUCGUGCCUCGGUACGUACUGGUAUUAUUGGUUCCUCCCUUCUGACGAACCACGAUGUCAUUAAUUUGGUGUCAUGGGAAAUCAGGACUGUUACUUUGAAAAAUUAGAGUGUUUAAAGCAGGCUCGCGCUUGAAUACAUUAGCAUGGAAUAAUGAAAUAGGACGUUUGAUUCUAUUUUGUUGGUUUCUAGGAUCGACGUAAUGAUUAAUAGGGAUAGUUGGGGGCAUUAGUAUUCAAUUGUCAGAGGUGAAAUUCUUGGAUUUAUUGAAGACUAACUACUGCAAAAGCAUUUGCCAAGGAUGUUUUCAUUAAUCAAGAACGAAAGUUAGGGGAUCGAAGACGAUCAGAUACCGUCGUAGUCUUAACCAUAAACUAUGCCGACUA
Molecule: ribosomal RNA, 473 nt
Filed under: uncultured Glomus
Lineage: Eukaryota; Fungi; Glomeromycota; Glomeromycetes; Glomerales; Glomeraceae
Description: SSU rRNA
Rfam family: Eukaryotic small subunit ribosomal RNA
Source: RNAcentral